ACUCCUACGGGAGGCAGCAGCUAAGAAUCUUCCGCAAUGACGCAAGUCUGACGGAGCGACGCCGCGUGUGCGAAGAAUGUCGAGAGAUUGUAAAAGCACUUUUAUAUGUGAGGAAUAAGCGUGUCAGGAAAUGGGCAUGUGAUGACGUUAGCAUAUGAAUAAGCUCCGGCCAAUUACGUGCCAGCAGCCGCGGUAACACGUAAGGAGCGAGCGUUGUUCGGAAUUAUUGGGGCGUAAAGGGCAUGUAGGCGGUUCUGUAAGUCUGAUGUGAAAGCACGCAGCUUAACUGCGAUGUUGCGUUGAAACUGCAGGACUUGAAUCCGAGAGGGGUGUGUGGAAUUCCUAGUGUAGGGGUG
Molecule: ribosomal RNA, 356 nt
Filed under: uncultured bacterium
Lineage: Bacteria
Description: bacterial SSU rRNA
Rfam family: Bacterial small subunit ribosomal RNA
Source: RNAcentral